GGGGGAUAGAGGGACUUGAACCAA
Molecule: transfer RNA, 24 nt
Filed under: Odontites jaubertianus
Lineage: Eukaryota; Viridiplantae; Streptophyta; Magnoliopsida; Lamiales; Orobanchaceae
Description: partial tRNA-Leu
Source: RNAcentral